Impatiens glandulifera is the source of this 1115-nucleotide long non-coding RNA. RefSeq lists it as uncharacterized. The transcript is spliced from 4 exons. The record is from RefSeq and is a predicted model, not a curated record. Lineage: Eukaryota; Viridiplantae; Streptophyta; Magnoliopsida; Ericales; Balsaminaceae.
AGAAGAGGAUAAGUUUAAAGAUGAAAAAAUAAGGUCACCAGCUAGCAAGUUUGGAAAAUCUCAUUAUCAUGCCAAUGAUUCCGACGAUUCGCUCUCCGAGAUAGAUCCUGAACUCCGUUAUAGUUUCCAGUAUAACUUUUAGAGUGUAUGAAAUUGACAAAAUAUGUUGAUCUGAAACCCUCCCUUACUGCCGCUGUCGUCUGAAACCCUUUCCGAAGCCGCUCCCCUCCUACAGCUGCCGCCGCUUCCAGUUUCAGGGAGAGCAGACAAUGUCUUUAUCAUUCUCCUCAUCUAUUUCGCACCUUCUUCUAUCAAUCUUAUAUUGUCUUAAUCGAUUGUAUUUUUUGUGAUAAAGCAGGGAAAGCAUAUGGCAAAUAGCGAUGUUGUCGUGCUAAGUUCAAUCCAACAUUCCCCUAAAUCUAUGUUUUAAUAUCUGUUUCGAUAAUCAAUAUUGUACUGAGCUUGCUGCUGUUUAAACAUCAACUUGGGAAAAUGGCUAAAGGAAAAUGUGCUUUCAUUGAGUAUGAAGUAAAAUGUUCUGCCAAGCAUAGGCAGAAACAUGACAGAUCCGUGUUAAGGAGCAUGGUUCUGUUUAUAUUUGUGGAAUUAAUGAUUGGGACUACUGUGGCUGUUUCUUGUGAUGUUAAUAUAAGGGAGUACGGUUGAUGGUGUAAAUAUUUGGAUUGUGUUCCUUCCAAAUGGUGGAGCUGUAAUGGAGAUCAAAUGAAGUGUGAGGUAUUGGUAUAAUGAUUUUGGGAUUAAUAAUUAAUACAUGAUUGAAAAUGUUUAUUCUAAAAAUGCAUAUCGGUGUGAAUACAUGGAAAUUGACACUGACUUGCAUAAGUAGUAGUGAUAGGUAUAUGGACUUUCCAUUCACCAAUAUAUCGCAAGUUUGAGUCCAGGAUUUGUGUGAUAUGAUAUGCUCCUCUCCUUGUUUAGGAUUCUUCCUUUUCUUUCUUUCUUUAUAUAAGAAUUUGUGGCAAAUGACAUGCUUUUAGGUUAUACAGUAAUUUAAUUUGACCAUAUACAGUAGUUUUACAAUUAAUAACGUGCUCUUGGAAAAUUGAUCAACAUUUGAACGGAUUUGUUUGCGGUAGAGAAAAGAUCACUGAUUU